Caenorhabditis elegans is the source of this 1199-nucleotide RNA transcript. It is a transcript of the gene named Non-coding transcript of protein-coding gene C35D6.13b, with no coding region annotated. NCBI's taxonomy places the organism in Eukaryota, Metazoa, Nematoda, Chromadorea, Rhabditida, Rhabditidae. The record is from RefSeq and is marked reviewed. The transcript has 3 exons.
AUUUUCUGAAAACUAUGAACUCAACAACCGAGCGUCUUCUUUCAUCCGUUAUUUCUGACAAAAAUGACAAUGUGUUCUGGUUUUGGUUUUAUAAUAUUUUGGGCUCCGUGUAUUUUAUCGGGCACUUAUUUUACGUGUACGUUUUUAAUGAAAAUCAGGAUCGCGAUAAAAAGCAAAAGACACAUUUAGGCAUAAGAAUUAAAAUUUGAUUUUUCAAAAGAUUUCUACAGGAAAACUGAAAUUAGUUCUUUCAUUAUUUGUCGCAAAAUUGCUCCAAAAAUCGAAUUUUCUUCAGGACCUCCUGUUUCCAAUAACAACUCAUAUUUUCCAUGCAAUGAAAAUUGUCACCAUCCUGUUAUUGUUCAUGUUCAUUUCUCAAGUUUUGUUACGCUGGCAUCACUUUGAAAAUGAAAAAAGAUUGAAAAAUGGAAAUGAGUGUGAUCACAUUUUAACGUAUGAUGAUAUCUUGCAACAACCCAAAUUGCACAUUUUCCUUGAAGUAAUUGGGAUUAUCUCUUGGAUCUUCACUUAUCCCAUUUAUAUUGUAGCCCAAACAUACCACGUGAUCAUAUUCCUUCUAUCAGUUCAAUUCUUCAUAGUUUGCUUCUUCCCAAGACUCGAGCAAAAAUUUCGGAAAAUUCAUAGAAAAAUCAGAAGGAAAACAAUACACUUUUAUUGGAUACUAUUCAUUUUUCAAGUUUUUCACUAUUUUAUUAAACUUUUUUAUCAACAUCCGAACGAUUUGACCGACUUCCAUAUUCUUUGUUUCUUGAUAGUUGUUGCAAAUAUUCUGCACAUUUUAUCAUUCAUUUUUGGAAGGAAGCGAGCAAUUUCUUUUUAUCAAAGUAACCUGCGAAAGUACAUUAUCUGGCUGACAAGUUUUGGAGGAGCAGCCAACUUGACAUUUCUGGUUUUCAUUGUCUAUUUCAUACAAGAUAAGAAUAUUUUUGUUACGGUUAUUAUAUAUUAUUUGUUGGUGACACCGUGUAUUAUACAAAUGUGCUACUUGAUUUGCAACAGGCAAAAAUUGAUAACUUUGAUGGUUUCGUUUAAGUUUAAAAAAUUUAUCAAAAAACUGAUAGGCAGUCAACAUUCAUAUGUUCAUCCUCAGCUUGCCACGCAACAAAGAUUUUGAAUAAAAAAUGUGUAUCGACUUCUUCUGAAAAUCUUGAAAUUUGAAAUAAAAGAUUGAAAUAAAA